RNAcentral lists this ribosomal RNA (475 nucleotides) under Microbacterium yannicii. RNAcentral describes it as "bacterial SSU rRNA". It matches the Rfam family "Bacterial small subunit ribosomal RNA", at positions 23 to 510 of the family's 1533-position model. Lineage: Bacteria; Bacillati; Actinomycetota; Actinomycetes; Micrococcales; Microbacteriaceae. The record is from RNAcentral.
CUCAGGAUGAACGCUGGCGGCGUGCUUAACACAUGCAAGUCGAACGGUGAAGCCCAGCUUGCUGGGUGGAUCAGUGGCGAACGGGUGAGUAACACGUGAGCAACCUGCCCCUGACUCUGGGAUAAGCGCUGGAAACGGCGUCUAAUACUGGAUACGAGACGUGAUCGCAUGGUCAACGUUUGGAAAGAUUUUUUGGUUGGGGAUGGGCUCGCGGCCUAUCAGCUUGUUGGUGAGGUAAUGGCUCACCAAGGCGUCGACGGGUAGCCGGCCUGAGAGGGUGACCGGCCACACUGGGACUGAGACACGGCCCAGACUCCUACGGGAGGCAGCAGUGGGGAAUAUUGCACAAUGGGCGCAAGCCUGAUGCAGCAACGCCGCGUGAGGGAUGACGGCCUUCGGGUUGUAAACCUCUUUUAGCAAGGAAGAAGCGAAAGUGACGGUACUUGCNGAAAAAGCGCCGGCUAACUACGUGCCA